RNAcentral lists this ribosomal RNA (829 nucleotides) under uncultured archaeon. Its description in RNAcentral is "bacterial SSU rRNA". It matches the Rfam family "Archaeal small subunit ribosomal RNA", at positions 41 to 878 of the family's 1478-position model. The record is from RNAcentral.
UGAUUAAGCCAUGCGAGUCGAGAGGGUUCGGCCCUCGGCGUACUGCUCAGUAACACGUGGAUAACCUGCCCUAGGGAAGGGGAUAACCCCGGGAAACUGGGGAUAAUACCCUAUAGGUUACAGAUGCUGGAAUGCUCUGUAACCCAAAGUUCCGGCGCCCUAGGAUGGAUCUGCGGCCGAUUAGGUUGUUGUUGGGGUAAUGGCCCAACAAGCCAGUAAUCGGUACGGGUUGUGGGAGCAAGAGCCCGGAGUUGGAUUCUGAGACACGAAUCCAGGCCCUACGGGGCGCAGCAGGCGCGAAAACUUUACAAUGCGGGCAACCGUGAUAAGGGAACCUCGAGUGCCUGUAAAUGCAGGCUGUUUAGGUGUUUAAAACGCACCUGGAGAAAGGGCCGGGCAAGACCGGUGCCAGCCGCCGCGGUAAUACCGGCGGCUCGAGUGGUGGCCACUUUUAUUGGGCUUAAAGCGUUCGUAGCUGGGUUGUUAAGUCUCUUGGGAAAUCUGGCGGCUUAACCGUCAGGCGUCUAAGGGAUACUGGCAAUCUUGGAACCGGGAGAGGUGAGGGGUACUUCGGGGGUAGGAGUGAAAUCCUGUAAUCCUCGAGGGACCACCUGUGGCGAAGGCGCCUCACCAGAACGGCUUCGACAGUGAGGGACGAAAGCUGGGGGAGCAAACCGGAUUAGAUACCCGGGUAGUCCCAGCCGUAAACUAUGCGCGUUAGGUGUAUCGGUGACCACGAGUUMCCGAGGUNCCGAAGGGAAACCGUSAAACSUSCCGCCUGGGAAGUACGSUCGCAAGGCUGAAACYYAAAGGAAUUGGCGGGGGAGCA